AUUGAACGCUGGCGGCAGGCCUAACACAUGCAAGUCGGGCGGAGCGGCGGACGGGUGAGUAAUGCCUAGGAAUCUGCCUGGUAGUGGGGGAUAACGUCCGGAAACGGGCGCUAAUACCGCAUACUAUCAGAUUAGCCUAGGUCGGCUUAGCUAGUUGGUGGGGUAAAGGCCUACCAAGGCGACGAUCCGUAACUGGUCUGAGAGGAUGAUCAGUCAAACUGGAACUGAGACACGGUCCAGACUCCUACGGGAGGCAGCAGUGGGGAAUAUUGCACAAUGGGCGAAAGCCGGAUGCAGCCAUGCCGCGGGUAUGAAGAAGGCCUUCGGGUUGUAAAGUACUUUCAGUCGGGAGGCGUUACCGACAGAAGAAGCACCGGCUAACUCCGUGCCAGCAGCCGCGGUAAUUC
Molecule: ribosomal RNA, 407 nt
Filed under: uncultured bacterium
Lineage: Bacteria
Description: partial 16S ribosomal RNA
Rfam family: Bacterial small subunit ribosomal RNA
Source: RNAcentral